UACGUCUAAAAGCCAUUCUCUUGAGCUGACUGCGGAAGAAAUAACUCUCCUGAAACAAAAAAGAGCAAAAAGUACAAUGGAAGAGACGGGCGUUGGUACGUAAAUAACAGCAGUGAAAGUCAGCCCAAUAUCUGCAACAAUGAAGACAUCACCUCUGCUAAGAGAGGAAAGCAAUAAUAACUGGAUGCCAAGCCAAUAGAUUGCCUCAUGGACCAUCCUUGCUGGCUGGCUGGCUUCUUCUUGAGUUGGACAAAUUAAAGAUACUGGCUGGAGAGCAGAGGGCAUCAGGAGAACAAAGUUGGAGACCCUUCACUGACACCUCUCUGUUGAAGUGCUGUGCUUCUGGUGAUGACGGCAGCCUCUCUGAAAGGCUCCUCCUCAUUAUUG
Microtus ochrogaster (prairie vole) is the source of this 387-nucleotide long non-coding RNA. RefSeq lists it as uncharacterized. The record is from RefSeq and is a predicted model, not a curated record. The transcript is spliced from 3 exons. Lineage: Eukaryota; Metazoa; Chordata; Mammalia; Rodentia; Cricetidae.